RNAcentral lists this transfer RNA (77 nucleotides) under Caudoviricetes sp. RNAcentral's name for it is "tRNA-Met". It matches the Rfam family "tRNA". Rfam says of the family: Transfer RNA (tRNA) molecules are approximately 80 nucleotides in length. Their secondary structure includes four short double-helical elements and three loops (D, anti-codon, and T loops). Lineage: Duplodnaviria; Heunggongvirae; Uroviricota; Caudoviricetes. The record is from RNAcentral.
GUUCCGGUAACUCAAUUGGUAAGAGUAAUCCACUCAUAAUGGAAAGGUUAUAGGUUCGAAUCCUAUCCGGAACACCA